UCGCGCGCUCCGGCCGCCGCCGUCCCAGCGUCCCGCCGCCCGUGCGUCCUCCGCGCGCCACCGCCCGGCCGCCCGGCCCUCGGCGGUGGCUCCGCCCCCGCCCUGCCCCCUCCGGGCCGGCCCCGCCCCCAGUCGCCUGCAGCCUGGACGGCCGUGGGGGGAAGGGGGAGACAGGGGAUGCCGGGAGAACGCGAUUGCACCUGGACUGCAGAGAGAAAACGAAAAGUCAGAGACACAACUCCCCAGGGCCGGGACCUGAACACCAGCCCUUCUGGCCUAGUACCCAAGACCUCCACCCCCAGCUGCCUCUUGGCAUGUGGUCACCACCACUCCCGAAGUGCCCCUCACCCACAGCCGGUGCCACCAUGAAGCUGGCAGAAACCCUGGGAAGUUUCCUGACCAACUGUGGAGAGGUCUGCGUGUACCGUCUGGUUUAUUCCCCUGAGGCUUUUGUUUGAGCCUUUAACAAAAUGACAAUAGUGAAAACCCCACUAGGGGUCUGGCAGCCCAGAAAAUAAAUCUCACCGGAAAAACCUGACUCCGAAUCUGAGCGGGACUCCAGACCUCAUCACCAGUUCCCAGAAACGUGGGGACAGAGGAACAAGUAAAGCAACACCAUGGGGACACAGCCGGCCUUGUUCAGGCCAGAAAACCCCUUGGAACAGGGGUGUGUGGGUGGUUCAGUCGGUUAAGCGUCCGACCUCAGCUCAGGUCAUGAUCUCACGGUUCAAGAGUUCAAGCCCCGCGUUGGACUCUAUGUUGACAGCUUGGAGCCUGGAGCCUGUUUUGGAUUCUGUGUCUCCCUCUGUCUCUGCCCCUCCCAAAUUCACACUCUGUCUGUCUGUCCCUCUCUCAAUAAUAAAUAAACAUUAAAAAAAAUUAAAAAAAAAUUAAAAGAAAGAAAAUUCCUUGAAACAAAGCUCACAUCUCCAACAAAUGAAAUGCAGGAAAAAGAAACAAUUGCUUUCAUGCAAGCAAGCAAACUGGGAGAAAACCUUUUUACAACAGUGGGAAAUACAAUGCCUGAGCCUCAACCUAUCAAAGAAAACAUUAAAAACCCUUACUGUAAAAAUUGGGGAACUGAUGCCGUUUUUUGUUUUUGUUUUCUUUCUUUGAUUCAAAGAGCCUUAAGAGACUUGUCAGUCACAGCCAUUGUGGAUCUUAUAAAUGGAUCGUGAUUCGAACCAAGUGCAAAAAAACAAAUUGUCUUGAGAUCAUCAGGAACAUCCAAGCAUGGACUGGUAUUCCCAUUAAUGGGGCACCUGGGUGGUUCAGUUGGUUAAGCAUCUGACCGACUCAGGUCAUGAUCUCAUGGUUUGUGAGUUCGAGCCCUGCAUCAGGCUCCGUGCUGACAGCUCAGAGCCUGGAGCCUGCUUUGAAUUCUGUGUCUCCCUCUCUCUGCCCCUCCAGCACUCACACUCUGUCUCUCUCUUUC
Molecule: long non-coding RNA, 1435 nt
Organism: Neofelis nebulosa (Clouded leopard)
Lineage: Eukaryota; Metazoa; Chordata; Mammalia; Carnivora; Felidae
Exons: 2
Source: RefSeq, a predicted model, not a curated record